AGGUUUGAUUAUGGCUCAGGAUGAACGCUAGCGGCGGGCCUAAUACAUGCAAGUCGUACGAGGUGAAGAGCCAUAGUGGCGGACGGGUGCGUAACGCGUACGUAACCUACCCUUAGGAGGGGAUAGCAUUUCGAAAGGAGUGGUAAUCCCGCAUGAGGCCUAUUUACUGCAUGGUAGAUGGUGAAAGCAGUGAUGCGCCUAAGGAUGGGCGUGCGUCCGAUUAGCUAGUUGGUAGGGUAAGGCCUACCAAGGCGACGAUCGGUAGCUGGUCUGAGAGGAUGAUCAGCCACACUGGCAUGAGACACGGGCCAGACUCCUACGGGAGGCAGCAGUAGGGAAUAUUGGGCAAUGGGCGCAGCCUGACCCAGCCACGCCGCGUGGAGGAAGGAGGUCCAAGGGAUUGUAAACUUCUUUUUCUGGGACUAAGGGGCUAUUGGAUAGUUCUUGAAGGUACCGGAGGAAUAAGCACCGGCAACUACGUGCCAGCAGCCGCGGUAAUACGUAGGGUGCAAGCGUUGUCCGGAUUUACUGGGUUAAAGGGUGCGUAGGCGGUUAAGUAAGUCGGCGAUGAAAUGCUAAUGCUUAACGUUAGGCUGUUGACGAUACUGCUUAGCUAGAGUGCUAUCGAGGUAGCUGGAAUGAGCGGUGUAGGGUGAAAUACGUAGAGAUCGCUCAGAACACCGAUUGCGGAGGCAGGUUACUAGGUAGCGCUGACGCUGAGGCACGAAAGCGUGGGGAGCGAACAGGAUUAGAUACCCUGGUAGUCCACCCCUAAACGAUGGAUACUGGAUAUUUGGCUGUUAGGGCUGAGUGUCUAAGCGAAAGCGAAAGUAUCCCACCUGGGGAGUACGCUCGCAAGGGUGAAACU
This 868-nucleotide ribosomal RNA is filed under the name uncultured Bacteroidota bacterium. RNAcentral's name for it is "bacterial SSU rRNA". It matches the Rfam family "Bacterial small subunit ribosomal RNA", at positions 9 to 901 of the family's 1533-position model. Lineage: Bacteria; Pseudomonadati; Bacteroidota. The record is from RNAcentral.